This 533-nucleotide ribosomal RNA is filed under the name uncultured bacterium. RNAcentral describes it as "bacterial SSU rRNA". It matches the Rfam family "Bacterial small subunit ribosomal RNA", at positions 777 to 1303 of the family's 1533-position model. The record is from RNAcentral.
AAUAGAUACCCUGGUAGUCCUAGCUGUAAACGAUGAGCACUUGGUCGAGGGGACCUCCACAUCCUCUCGGCCGUAGCGAAAGUGUUAAGUGCUCCGCCUGGGGAGUAUGGUCGCAAGGCUGGAACUCAAAGGAAUUGACGGGGGGCUCACACAAGCGGUGGAGGAUGUGGCUUAAUUCGAGGCUACGCGGAGAACCUUAUCCUGGUCUUGACAUGCUUAGGAACACUCUGGAAACAGAGUGGUGCCCUUCGGGGAGCCUUUGCACAGGUGCUGCAUGGCUGUCGUCAGCUCGUGUCGUGAGAUGUCGGGUUAAGUCCCUUAACGAGCGAAACCCUUGUCCCUAGUUGCCAGCGAGUUAUGUCGGGGACUCUAGGGAGACUGCCGGUGUUAAACCGGAGGAAGGUGGGGAUGACGUCAAGUCCUCAUGGCCUUUAUGAUCAGGGCUGCACACGUCCUACAAUGCGGCGUACAAAGGGAAGCAACCUCGUGAGAGCAAGCAAAUCCCAAAAAGCGUCGCCCAGUUCGGAUUGACG